AGAGUUUGAUCAUGGCUCAGAACGAACGCUGGCGGCAUGCCUAACACAUGCAAGUCGAACGAAGGCUUCGGCCUUAGUGGCGCACGGGUGCGUAACGCGUGGGAAUCUGCCCUUAGGUUCGGAAUAACAGCCGGAAACGGCUGCUAAUACCGGAUGAUAUCGCGAGAUCAAAGAUUUAUCGCCUGAGGAUGAGCCCGCGUUGGAUUAGGUAGUUGGUGGGGUAAAGGCCUACCAAGCCGACGAUCCAUAGCUGGUCUGAGAGGAUGAUCAGCCACACUGGGACUGAGACACGGCCCAGACUCCUACGGGAGGCAGCAGUGGGGAAUAUUGGACAAUGGGCGAAAGCCUGAUCCAACAAUGCCGCGUGAGUGAUGAAGGCCCUAGGGUUGUAAAGCUCUUUUACCCGGGAAGAUAAUGACUGUACCGGGAGAAUAAGCCCCGGCUAACUCCGUGCCAGCAGCCGCGGUAAUACGGAGGGGGCUAGCGUUGUUCGGAAUUACUGGGCGUAAAGCGCACGUAGGCGGCUUUGUAAGUCAGAGGUGAAAGCCUGGAGCUCAACUCCAGAACUGCCUUUGAGACUGCAUCGCUUGAAUCCAGGAGAGGUCAGUGGAAUUCCGAGUGUAGAGGUGAAAUUCGUAGAUAUUCGGAAGAACACCAGUGGCGAAGGCGGCUGACUGGACUGGUAUUGACGCU
Molecule: ribosomal RNA, 693 nt
Filed under: uncultured bacterium
Lineage: Bacteria
Description: bacterial SSU rRNA
Rfam family: Bacterial small subunit ribosomal RNA
Source: RNAcentral